UACAGAGGGUGCGAGCGUUAAUCGGAGUUACUGGGCGUAAAGGGCGCGUAGGCGGUUAUAUAAGUGAGAUGUGAAAUCCCUGGGCUUAACCUAGGAACUGCAUCUCAUACUGUAUGACUGGAGUAUUGUAGAGGGUAGUGGAAUUUCCGGUGUAGCGGUGAAAUGCGUAGAGAUCGGAAGGAACACCAGUGGCGAAGGGCGGCUACCUGGACAAAUACUGACGCUGAGGCGCGGAGAGCGUGGGGGAGCAAACAGG
RNAcentral lists this ribosomal RNA (256 nucleotides) under uncultured bacterium. RNAcentral's name for it is "partial 16S ribosomal RNA". It matches the Rfam family "Bacterial small subunit ribosomal RNA", at positions 524 to 776 of the family's 1533-position model. The record is from RNAcentral.